AGAGUUUGAUCAUGGCUCAGAUUGAACGCUGGCGGCAGGCUUAACACAUGCAAGUCAAGCGGAGAUGAGGUGCUUGCACCUUAUCUUAGCGGCGGACGGGUGAGUAAUGCUUAGGAAUCUGCCUAUUAGUGGGGGACAACAUUCCGAAAGGAAUGCUAAUACCGCAUACGUCCUACGGGAGAAAGCAGGGGAUCUUCGGACCUUGCGCUAAUAGAUGAGCCUAAGUCGGAUUAGCUAGUUGGUGGGGUAAAGGCCUACCAAGGCGACGAUCUGUAGCGGGUCUGAGAGGAUGAUCCGCCACACUGGGACUGAGACACGGCCCAGACUCCUACGGGAGGCAGCAGUGGGGAAUAUUGGACAAUGGGGGGAACCCUGAUCCAGCCAUGCCGCGUGUGUGAAGAAGGCCUUAUGGUUGUAAAGCACUUUAAGCGAGGAGGAGGCUACUGAGACUAAUACUCUUGGAUAGUGGACGUUACUCGCAGAAUAAGCACCGGCUAACUCUGUGCCAGCAGCCGCGGUAAUACAGAGGGUGCGAGCGUUAAUCGGAUUUACUGGGCGUAAAGCGUGCGUAGGCGGCUUUUUAAGUCGGAUGUGAAAUCCCCGAGCUUAACUUGGGAAUUGCAUUCGAUACUGGGAAGCUAGAGUAUGGGAGAGGAUGGUAGAAUUCCAGGUGUAGCGGUGAAAUGCGUAGAGAUCUGGAGGAAUACCGAUGGCGAAGGCAGCCAUCUGGCCUAAUACUGACGCUGAGGUACGAAAGCAUGGGGAGCAAACAGGAUUAGAUACCCCGGUAGUCCAA
Molecule: ribosomal RNA, 796 nt
Filed under: uncultured bacterium
Lineage: Bacteria
Description: bacterial SSU rRNA
Rfam family: Bacterial small subunit ribosomal RNA
Source: RNAcentral